RNAcentral lists this ribosomal RNA (126 nucleotides) under Agaricus bitorquis. RNAcentral's name for it is "5.8S ribosomal RNA". It matches the Rfam family "5.8S ribosomal RNA", at positions 30 to 154 of the family's 154-position model. From Rfam's summary of the family: 5.8S ribosomal RNA (5.8S rRNA) is a component of the large subunit of the eukaryotic ribosome. The record is from RNAcentral. Lineage: Eukaryota; Fungi; Basidiomycota; Agaricomycetes; Agaricales; Agaricaceae.
GCAUCGAUAAAAAACGCACCGAAAUGCGAUAAGUAAUGUGAAUUGCAAAAUUCAGUGAAUCAUCGAAUCUUUGAACGCAUCUCGCGCUCCUUGGUAUUCCAAGGAGCAUGCCAGUUUGAGUGUCAU